This 443-nucleotide ribosomal RNA is filed under the name uncultured bacterium. RNAcentral describes it as "partial 16S ribosomal RNA". It matches the Rfam family "Bacterial small subunit ribosomal RNA", at positions 338 to 795 of the family's 1533-position model. The record is from RNAcentral.
CCUACGGGGGGCAGCAGUGGGGAAUAUUGGGCAAUGGGCGCAAGCCUGACCCAGCAACGCCGCGUGAAGGAAGAAGGCUUUCGGGUUGUAAACUUCUUUUGUCAGGGACGAAGCAAGCGACGGUACCUGACGAAUAAGCCACGGCUAACUACGUGCCAGCAGCCGCGGUAAUACGUAGGUGGCAAGCGUUAUCCGGAUUUACUGGGUGUAAAGGGCGUGUAGGCGGGCCUGCAAGUCAGAUGUGAAAACCAGGGGCUCAACCUGGGGACUGCAUUUGAAACUGGAGUACUUGAGUACUGGAGAGGCAGACGGAAUUCCUAGUGUAGCGGUGAAAUGCGUAGAUAUUAGGAGGAACACCAGUGGCGAAGGCGGUCUGCUGGACAGCAACUGACGCUGAGGCGCGAAAGCGUGGGGAGCAAACAGGAUUAGAUACCCUAGUAGUC